GUGGUUGUAGCUCAACGGUAGAGUGCUCACCUAGCACGUGUGGGGUGCAGGGUUCAAUUCUCAGCACCACA
RNAcentral lists this transfer RNA (71 nucleotides) under Marmota monax (woodchuck). It matches the Rfam family "tRNA". Rfam says of the family: Transfer RNA (tRNA) molecules are approximately 80 nucleotides in length. Their secondary structure includes four short double-helical elements and three loops (D, anti-codon, and T loops). Further hydrogen bonds mediate the characteristic L-shaped molecular structure. tRNAs have two regions of fundamental functional importance: the anti-codon, which is responsible for specific mRNA codon recognition, and the 3' end, to which the tRNAs corresponding amino acid is attached (by aminoacyl-tRNA synthetases). tRNAs cope with the degeneracy of the genetic code in two manners: having more than one tRNA (with a specific anti-codon) for a particular amino acid; and 'wobble' base-pairing, i.e. permitting non-standard base-pairing at the 3rd anti-codon position. Lineage: Eukaryota; Metazoa; Chordata; Mammalia; Rodentia; Sciuridae. The record is from Rfam by way of RNAcentral.